RNAcentral lists this ribosomal RNA (194 nucleotides) under uncultured bacterium. Its description in RNAcentral is "partial 16S ribosomal RNA". It matches the Rfam family "Bacterial small subunit ribosomal RNA", at positions 1306 to 1500 of the family's 1533-position model. The record is from RNAcentral.
UGCAACUCGCCUGUAUGAAGUCGGAAUUGCUAGAAUCGUGGAUCAGCAUGCCACGGUGAAUACGUUCCCGGGCCUUGUACACACCGCCCGUCACACCAUGAGAGCCGGGAACACCCGAAGUCCGUAGUCUAACCUAUAUGGAGGACGCGGCCGAAGGUGGGUUUGGUAAUUGGGUGAAGUCGUAACAAGGUAGC